ACCAGAGUUCUCCUCUCCUAGUGACUCCCAUUAACACCGUUUCCCCCAAUCCAAACCCUGAUCAAGAGGGUUCGAGUUCAAAUCCCCAGUCCACAGCAACCAUGGGGAAGAAUCCGCCCUCGAUACCUUCUCUGCCACCUACUGACUUCUUUAAGGAUGGGGAACAGUUUCCUCAUGCCAAUACCCCCUCUACUGUUACGGAAGCUGAAAUACGUAUCCUCCGGACUCGCUAUCAGAUUCCGGAUAUGUACGCAACAAGGGCUCCUGCUCCCGAAGAACGCAUGUACCAUCGACCGGAUGGUUGGGUCGCCAUGCC
RNAcentral lists this long non-coding RNA (316 nucleotides) under Panax ginseng (ginseng). RNAcentral's name for it is "long non-coding RNA (PGIN_LNC009906)". Lineage: Eukaryota; Viridiplantae; Streptophyta; Magnoliopsida; Apiales; Araliaceae. The record is from RNAcentral.